RNAcentral lists this ribosomal RNA (478 nucleotides) under uncultured bacterium. RNAcentral describes it as "bacterial SSU rRNA". It matches the Rfam family "Bacterial small subunit ribosomal RNA", at positions 29 to 502 of the family's 1533-position model. The record is from RNAcentral.
AACGAACGCUGGCGGCGUGGCUAAGGCAUGCAAGUCGAACGAACCUUUCUGCGGGGUAACCCAAAGUUUGGUUAGUGGCGAACGGGUGAGGAAUACAUGGACAACGUACCCCGGACUCAGGAAUAGCGGCGGGACUUCGGUCCCUUUGCGAAAGUGCCGGUAAUACCUGAUGAUCUCGUAGUAUCGCAUGAUACAUCGAGCAAAGCCCCGACGGUCCGGGAGCGGUUCAUGUCCUAUCAGCUUGUUGGUGGGGUAAUGGCCUACCAAGGCGGCGACGGGUAUCGGGCGUGAGAGCGUGAACCGACACAUCGGAACUGAGAUACGGUCCGGACACCUACGGGUGGCUGCAGCAACGAAUAUUCCGCAAUGGACGAAAGUCUGACGGAGCGACGCCGCGUGCAGGAAGAAGUCCCUCGGGAUGUAAACUGCUGUCAGGGGUUAGGAAGAACUGACCAGCCCCAAAGAAGCACCGCUAACU